AUUACCAAUAUCAAUGGAUCUCUAGGCUCUAAUUACGAUGAAAAACGCAGCAAAACGCGAAAUCAGAUAUGAUACGCGAAUUACUAUGAAUCAUCGAGUUUUUGAACGCAAACGGCACUGAAGGGC
This 126-nucleotide ribosomal RNA is filed under the name Protostelium mycophagum. RNAcentral describes it as "partial 5.8S ribosomal RNA". It matches the Rfam family "5.8S ribosomal RNA", at positions 1 to 124 of the family's 154-position model. Rfam says of the family: 5.8S ribosomal RNA (5.8S rRNA) is a component of the large subunit of the eukaryotic ribosome. It is transcribed by RNA polymerase I as part of the 45S precursor that also contains 18S and 28S rRNA. Functionally, it is thought that 5.8S rRNA may be involved in ribosome translocation. Lineage: Eukaryota; Evosea; Variosea; Protosteliida; Protosteliaceae. The record is from RNAcentral.